GAAAUUUGACUCUUUGCUUCUCUUAUUGGGAUUUGUAUAUAAUCUAGUGAUCAGUGUGUUUUACAGAUGCCCCAUCCCCAGAGGAUAUGGAUUUGGUACAGCUACACUUAUGUGAUGGCCACCAGCUUGUGUUGGAAGGCAGGGAAGAGGCACGACCAGAGUAAACACAUACUGCUUAUUCUCAACUGGUGGAUGGUGCUUUGAGGACCAUUACCCCCAGACUGGUUUAAUGUGCACCAGGCGGAGACCAGGCAGAGAGUCAGGUAUCAAGUUCAAAAAAAGAACAAAAUCAAUGGAAGAAAUAUCAGCAAUGAACAUGACAAUACAUGAAUACAAAGGGAUGCAAACGUAAUAAUCUGCUAUAAUAAUGUGUUAAAUAAAGCAUAAGAGACUUAGGGAUUGUGAAAUCAAUAAGAGAAUGCUAAAUCUACAGGAAGGGACACGUUGCAGUAGGCGGUCCAGUUUAUGAAUAAAGAUCAAAGGAGUGUUUUGAGGAGUGUUGGUUGGAAGGAGACUGACAGUAUCCUUUACCAGGG
Long non-coding RNA from Mauremys mutica (yellowpond turtle), 536 nucleotides. RefSeq lists it as uncharacterized. The record is from RefSeq and is a predicted model, not a curated record. NCBI's taxonomy places the organism in Eukaryota, Metazoa, Chordata, Testudines, Geoemydidae. The transcript has 3 exons.